RNAcentral lists this transfer RNA (75 nucleotides) under Burkholderiales bacterium. RNAcentral's name for it is "tRNA-Thr". It matches the Rfam family "tRNA". Rfam says of the family: Transfer RNA (tRNA) molecules are approximately 80 nucleotides in length. Their secondary structure includes four short double-helical elements and three loops (D, anti-codon, and T loops). Further hydrogen bonds mediate the characteristic L-shaped molecular structure. tRNAs have two regions of fundamental functional importance: the anti-codon, which is responsible for specific mRNA codon recognition, and the 3' end, to which the tRNAs corresponding amino acid is attached (by aminoacyl-tRNA synthetases). tRNAs cope with the degeneracy of the genetic code in two manners: having more than one tRNA (with a specific anti-codon) for a particular amino acid; and 'wobble' base-pairing, i.e. permitting non-standard base-pairing at the 3rd anti-codon position. Lineage: Bacteria; Pseudomonadati; Pseudomonadota; Betaproteobacteria; Burkholderiales. The record is from RNAcentral. RNAcentral also lists the same sequence under 2 other names.
GCCCAUGUAGCUCAGGGGCAGAGCACUCCCUUGGUAAGGGAGAGGUCACGAGUUCAAAUCUCGUCAUGGGCUCCA